GCCUUGAAUUUGUUAUAGGCCUGUGAAAAACUUUGACGAAGUUACCCUGUUGAGACGAUCUCCAUUGUUGGAAAUAUUUGCUCUGAGGGGAAGGGCUCAACCAUCAACAUCAAGGGGAAGAUUACAAGUGCCAACAAGAAGGGGCCGAAGGGGCCGAAGAGGUCAACAAUCUUCAUAAACUUGAAACUUUGUUUUUUUGCUUUUGGUUUGUAACUUAAUUAUUAAAACUUUGGAUUGUAACUAAUUUUUUUGCUUUUGGUUUGUAACUUAAUUAUUAAAACUUUAGAUUGUAACUAAUUUUUUUGCUUUUGGGUUUGUUACUUUAUUUAUUUUAAAACCUUGGCUACCAUACAAGUGGAAAAUGCAGCUGAACUGCUCUUAUAAACAUUGCAGGUUUGCCCAAUAUUUUUUUUA
Malus domestica (apple) is the source of this 414-nucleotide long non-coding RNA. RefSeq lists it as uncharacterized. The record is from RefSeq and is a predicted model, not a curated record. Lineage: Eukaryota; Viridiplantae; Streptophyta; Magnoliopsida; Rosales; Rosaceae.